AUGAGGAAACAACCCAACAUAGUGAUUUUUGAUCUGUUCAUUACCCAGCUGCAGAGGGACAUCCUGGUGGCUGGGCCACCCAACGGCAGAUGUGAGGGGAGCUGCAGUACAACAGAAUUACCCCCUAAAAUACAUCACACUCACUCUCAGGAUUCACAAGUUAGAAAGACUCCAGAGAACCACAAAAACACACAGCCCGUGUGUGACAUGGUUUCAGCUGGUGGGGGAUGGAAGGUGUUGAUGAACAAACUGACUUUAAACCGAACCUGGCAGGAGUACCUUGAUGGAUUCGGCUCCCCGCAGACAGAGCACUGGUUAGGGAAUGCAGUUCUGCACUAACCGCCAAUGGGCAUCACACGCUCCGUAUCACUCUCCAAGACUGGGAUGAACAGACACGUCAUGCUAACUAUAACAACUUUAAAGUGGCAGUAGUAAACCAGAGGUAUAUACACACAUAGUCAUACUAGUAUCUGGUGUAAGACUAGUGUCAAAGCAGAGUCUCAACAAACCUGUAUAAAAUAGGCCUAGUUCAGUUUCUUAUUAUGAUGCAUGUGUGAUAUUCUCUCCAUAAGGUUCUGCCUAACUGCUUGAGAUUACCAUGACGAUGCUGGCAAACAGUACAACCACGAUGGCAGAGUUUUCAGCACAUUUGUAACUGUGGCCAUUAUUAUGGUGCAGGCUGGUGGUUUGAUUCCUGUUUGGUCACUUACAUCAAUGGGCACUACUAUCAUGGGCAUUACAGUGGCAUCACGGAUGGCAUCUACUGGGGCACCUGGUAUAUCCUAACUGACUAUCACACAGGGGAAAGAUACUCAUUUAAGAGUGUUGAAAUGAAAACUAGACCAAAGCGGAGUUUAGGAAAACUUUUUUUUAAAUGACAAAUCCUUGUCAUGUAAUCAUACUCUUGCACUAUUUCAUUGUAGUAUUUCAUUUCAAUAAUGGCUUGUAAUUAUAUAACCUUGACCUGCCAUUAAACUUGAGAUUUUUAGAUAAUUGUAUGAUAUGAGAACAUAUUUAUAAACAUUUGUUCUAAAAUAAAUGUCAUAUUUUAAGCA
Molecule: long non-coding RNA, 1055 nt
Organism: Cyprinus carpio (common carp)
Lineage: Eukaryota; Metazoa; Chordata; Actinopteri; Cypriniformes; Cyprinidae
Source: Ensembl